Long non-coding RNA from Amphiprion ocellaris (clown anemonefish), 2352 nucleotides. The record is from Ensembl. Lineage: Eukaryota; Metazoa; Chordata; Actinopteri; Pomacentridae.
CUAGUCUGCUGUAUAUAUCUAUGGUCGGCACGUCUGGUAGCAUCUCUGACUGCUGUUGAUCUUGUUUUUGGAGUAAAACACGGUGGAAGCUGAAUUAGUGAGGAUGACUCCUGCUCCUGUCAUCUCUAAGCUCCUCACACAUCUUUACCUGCACAUGAGGAAAAUCACUCCUGUAGAAUGCAGAUGUUCAGAGGGAGAUGAUGCCACAUCUGGUCCAGCUGAUGGAAGGUCUUGAAGUUCUCUGACUGGCCUGGACUGAAGAUGGUCGUCUCACUGGAUUUAAGAUGCACAAUGAGGGACGUCUGCAGUGACUGAGAAAGAGUCUCACCACAUCCUGACAUGAGGAAAAAGACUUUAUUGAAGACUACAAUGAGAAAAACUAUCAGACAGCAGACGGCUGCAUUCAAGUCUGUAGCUGCUGAAUUCAUGGAUGAAUCAUCUGGCACUAGAGAGGAAGACCAUCAAACAUCCAUGUCAGCUGAUGGAGGUCCAAGAGUCUCACCAAACAAACAACCUACAGAGUGAAGACCUCCAAUCUGAUUGGACGGCCUCCUAUUCAGCCACGUUUUAGGCUGUUAGAUUGUUCCAGAUAAGACGAGUACAAGAUUCUUCAGAGCCGUUCUACCACGAGCCUGACAGGAAGAACUCCAACAGCUACUGAAUGUUCCUGUGGUUCCCUCAAGGCUACAGGAGGAGUCCUACGAGGACGAGCCGGUCCACCUGAUGGUGGCCAGUCGCUGCGGGUUCAAAGCCAACACCGACUACGUGGACUUCUACUGGACCACACGGAGGCCUUCAAACCGGACCAACAAGUUCAGUGACUCCCCGACUCGUGGGUCUGAGGACGCCACUGAGCCUCGGUCCAGCCGGCCUCCUGUCUGUGGGUGUUUGAGUGCUGAGAGGUUUGUGGAUCCAUGUGAACGUUCUGUGUUGAAACAGCAGCUUUGGACUCAGUAACGCCGGGAAAAACCAAGAGCUCCUUUAUUUGUGACUUCCACUAAAAAAACUGAUGAAAAUAAGUUUGCCAGGGUUCUGACUGAUAACAGAUUAUUAAAUAAUGAAAAUAAUCGUUUAAAUAUUCCUUUAAACAAUCCUUUUAGGUCUACAUUUCCUUUAAACUGACUUCUUGGUAUAUGUAGAAGUAUUUUGGGUGGAAUAUACCAUUAAGCCCAAUGUUCAAGGGUUCUUCUGGGAAUAUACCAUUAAACCAACCUUUUAGGUAAAUGUUCCAGGAUGUUGGGUAGAAUAUACCAUCAGAUAAACCUUUUAGGUCUACAUUGGAAGAUUUUAGAGUAGAAUAUUACUCCAAACCAUCCUUUAGGUCUACAUUUAAGGUGGAAUGCUCCUUUACACCAAGAUUUUUUUGGUCUACAUUGAAGGAUUUUAGGUGGAAUAUUCCUUUGAACGAACUUUUUAAGUAAAUGUUCAAGGAUGUUGGGUGGAAUAUACCAUCAGACCAACCUCCAAGGUCUACAGUAGUGAAUUUUAGGUGGAACAUACCAUUAAACUCACCUUUUAGGUCUAUAUUGGAGGAUUUUAGGUGGAAUUUUCUUCCAAACCGUCUUUUAGUCUACAUUUAAGGAUGUUUAGAAUGGUAUAUUCUUCCAAACCAACUUCUCAGGUCUACAUUUCAGGUGGAAUAUUCCUCCAUACUAACUUUUUUGGUCUACAUUGAAGGAUUUUUUCUAAACCACCCUUUCGGGUCUAUAUUUGAGGUUUUAGGUGGAAUAUUCCUUUUAAUCAGCCCCUCAGGUCUCUUUGAGGAUUUUGGAUGGAAUACUCGGUUAAACCAACAUUUUAGGUGCAUGUCCAAGGAUUCUUGGUGGAAUGUUCCUUUAAGGUGGAUGCGUGAGGACCUUGUAGGUGGAAUACUUCCUGAAACCAACCUUUUAGGUCAACAUUCAAAGAUUUAAGGUGGAAUAUUCCUUUAAACCAACCUAAAUUUCAUGUUUUGAUCAUUAUCAAGUGAGAAACCUCAAUCCAGACUCCUCAUAAUGACGUUUGAGAUUUAUGCUGCUGUUAUUUGUUUAGUCCAGACUAAAUGACAGAAAUCCACAACUGUAAUUUUAUUUCAGGACUCGGUUAUUAAAUGUCAAAACAAUCCAUGUGACUCUAAAAACUCAACAGCUUUACAAACUCUAAAGUUAAACUCUUCACAAGGAUCCAAAAUAAGUUGGACUUCUACAUGAGAGCUUUAAUUAUUCUUCAUCUACUUCCUGAAAAGUUUGGUCAAUAAAAAAGACAAAAACUAAUAUUUUCAGCUGAACUACAGACAGACUUUGUGAUUUUUCUGCUCACAUGUUGUGUUGUUGUAAACUUCCUCUUUCAAAUAAAUAUCCUCCUAACCCCCUG